CAAGUCGAGCGGAAGGCCACUUCGGUGGUACUCGAGCGGCGAACGGGUGAGUAACACGUGAGUAAUCUGCCCUCCACUUUGGGAUAGCCACCGGAAACGGUGAUUAAUACCGGAUAUGACCUCGGCCCGCAUGGGUUGUGGUGGAAAGUUUUUCGGUGGGGGAUGUGCUCGCGGCCUAUCAGCUUGAUGGUGGGGUAAUGGCCUACCAUGGCUUCGACGGGUAGCCGGCCUGAGAGGGUGACCGGCCACACUGGGACUGAGACACGGCCCAGACUCCUACGGGAGGCAGCAGUGGGGAAUAUUGGACAAUGGGCGGAAGCCUGAUCCAGCAACGCCGCGUGAGGGAUGACGGCCUUCGGGUUGUAAACCUCUUUCAGCACAGACGAAGCGAAAGUGACGGUAUGUGCAGAAGAAGCACCGGCCAACUACGUGCCAGCAGCCGCGGUAAUACGUAGGGUGCGAGCGUUGUCCGGAAUUAUUGGGCGUAAAGGGCUCGUAGGCGGUUUGUCGCGUCGGGAGUGAAAACACACAGCUUAACUGUGUGCUGGCUUCCGAUACGGGCAGACUAGAGGUAUGCAGGGGAGAACGGAAUUCCUGGUGUAGCGGUGAAAUGCGCAGAUAUCAGGAGGAACACCGGUGGCGAAGGCGGUUCUCUGGGCAUUACCUGACGCUGAGGAGCGAAAGUGUGGGGAGCGAACAGGAUUAGAUACCCUGGUAGUCCACACCGUAAACGUUGGGCGCUAGGUGUGGGGCCUAUUCCAUGGGUUCCGUGCCGCAGCUAACGCAUUAAGCGCCCCGCCUGGGGAGUACGGCCGCAAGG
This 820-nucleotide ribosomal RNA is filed under the name Nocardioides sp. HCA3-17_Pa. RNAcentral's name for it is "bacterial SSU rRNA". It matches the Rfam family "Bacterial small subunit ribosomal RNA", at positions 58 to 893 of the family's 1533-position model. Lineage: Bacteria; Bacillati; Actinomycetota; Actinomycetes; Propionibacteriales; Nocardioidaceae. The record is from RNAcentral.